GACAGGGUGGUCACGUGGUUGUCACGUGGUUCAUGUAAGCCUCAAUAGUUCCAAACACGCCGCGCAGUCAAUGUUAUUCUAUGGGACGACAGCAGAGAUUUCAAUAUUGAAUGGUAAAUAUGAAUGAAAAAAACCCAUACAAGUAUUUGUCUGACUGUUAUGGCAUUAUUGCAUAUUUGUUAAUGUCAGUUUUACAUUUAGAGUGGUAGGGGGACAACUGAAAGCUAUCUAUAAGUAUUACUUAGAUACGUUUUUAAGUUUGAGGGAAAGCUUCACGUUCGUGUUGGCAUACUGGCUUAACCUUAACUUUUACCCUACAUCUGUAUUGAAAUCAAAGUAUUCAAGAUGUUUUACCAUGAUCAUUUUAAGAUAUGAGCCACACAAAGUAUCAAAUAUAUUAAAGAAUAACAACUCAUUACGCUUGGAUGAAUGAAAUAGUAUUUUUUUUUUAUUAAACAAUUAGUGUGACACGAACAAGUGAGUGCGAUUGUGUGAACAGAUUCAACAAUGGACACAGCAGGGAACACUAUAUACUUAGGGCAAACCAUUAACAUAUAACGUUGCAAAUAUACUAUACUUUAUGCCAUUACAAUACUUAUAAUAGCCCUGAGCAAAUUCAAAAUUGGUUUAGAUCAAUGGUUAUACCAUGGUUGGCUGGGCAGCGUUUGGAUGCUCCAAUCAGUCCGAGAAGGGUUACCACAUGUAUGGCUUCCCCAAGGACCAAGAGCGCAGGAAGAAAUGGAUGGCAAUGGUCAGCCGUCAAAACUUACAAGUGACAGGGGUCAGCAACAGUCAAAAACGAUGUAAUGUACACUUUGAACUGAUUCACUGCCACAAAAAGAGAAGGGAUGUUGAAGCUGAGGCCCGAUGCAGUACCAACAGUUUUCAUUCAUCGCCCUAAGCCGAAGAGGAGGAAACCCCCUUCUGUGAGGGUGCCUCCAGAACCAAGUGCAACGGACCACACAUAUUUCACCAAAUUAAACUUCGGUAUGAUCCAUGCAGCUAACAAUAUUCCCCAUUUCAUGUAAUUCAAGGAUAGACUACACUCCUAAUGAGAUUGCAUAAUUCAUUUUUGUACAUUCAGUUUAAGAAACAACCAGAGGUCAGGGAUUCUCUGAGGAUUUGCACACAAUGUGGAUAAUCGACACAUUUCUACCCAAUUAACAAUUGCCGGUAGAUCCAUUUAUACAUUUUAUUGGUUUCUGAUUGUGGCAGAUGAUUUAAUUCACAUCACAGAAAUGAUUCGCUUUAAUUAAUUUUCUUACAUUGGAGAUGACAGUAGUUGCAAAUGCAAAGGCAAAAUACAUAUAACAGCAACAUUACCUUGUAAUUAUUACAGAGAUUGAGGGAGAAAUUGAGGUGGAUUUCAAGAGCGAUGAAAAGGACAUGACAGGAGACAGCGAGAGCAAUCAAGUGGGCCACUUUGCCAGGGGCAGGUGAUUCAGGGGCAGGUGAUCCAGGGGCAGCUGCUCCAGGGACCAGACUGCCAGGGACUGAUGGGGCGACUAUGGAGGACCUAAUAAGGCAACUAGAAAAGGAAAAAUUAAUGAGAAGGAGAGCAGAGAGGGCUCUUGUAAAACAAAAAAGAAUACAUUUGGCAACAAGAAAGAGAAACAAUUCAGUCAACAAGAAGUUACAACGAAAAAGCCAUACAGGUUAAAUUCACCG
This is a long non-coding RNA of Gadus macrocephalus (Pacific cod), 1668 nucleotides long. RefSeq lists it as uncharacterized. The record is from RefSeq and is a predicted model, not a curated record. NCBI's taxonomy places the organism in Eukaryota, Metazoa, Chordata, Actinopteri, Gadiformes, Gadidae. The transcript is spliced from 3 exons.